Molecule: ribosomal RNA, 451 nt
Filed under: uncultured bacterium
Lineage: Bacteria
Description: bacterial SSU rRNA
Rfam family: Bacterial small subunit ribosomal RNA
Source: RNAcentral
UCGAGAAUCUUCCACAAUGGACGAAAGUCUGAUGGAGCGACGCCGCGUGAUGGAUGAAGUCCCUAGGGACGUAAACAUCUUUUAUGAGGGAGAAAGUUUAUUGAUAGUACCUCACGAAUAAGGGGUUGCUAAACUCGUGCCAGCAGCAGCGGUAAUACGAGUGCCCCGAGCGUUAUCCGGAAUCACUGGGCGUAAAGGGUGUCGAGGCGGUUGUAUUAGUCGUUCGUAAAAUCUACGAGCUUAACUUGUAGGCGGCGAACGAAACGGUACGACUUGAGGUUUGGAGAGGUGCGUGGAACUCACGGUGUAGGGGUGAAAUCCGUUGAUAUCGUGGGGAACACCAAAGGCGAAGGCAGCGCACUGGCCAAAAUCUGACGCUCACACACGAAAGCUAGGGUAGCGAAGAGGAUUAGAUACCCGCGUAGUCCCUGAGCGGGCUGGCAAGGCGCAU